This 304-nucleotide signal recognition particle RNA is filed under the name Callithrix jacchus (white-tufted-ear marmoset). Its description in RNAcentral is "Metazoan signal recognition particle RNA (ENSCJAG00000053607.2)". It matches the Rfam family "Metazoan signal recognition particle RNA". From Rfam's summary of the family: The signal recognition particle (SRP) is a universally conserved ribonucleoprotein. Lineage: Eukaryota; Metazoa; Chordata; Mammalia; Primates; Cebidae. The record is from RNAcentral.
ACCGGGCUGGAUAGCACGUGCCUAUAGUCCCAGCUAUUUAGGAGGCUGAGGCUGGAGGAUCUCUUGAGCCCAGGAGUUCUGGGCUACAGUGCGCUAUGCCAAUCAGGUGUCCACACUAGGUUCGGCAUCAAUAUGGUGACCUCUCGGGAGCAGGGGCCAUCAGGUUGCCUAAGGAGGGGUGAACCAGCCCAGGUCAGUAAUGGAGCAGGUCAAAACUCACGUGCUGAUUAGUAGUGGGAUCACACCUGUGAAUAGCCAUUGCCUCUUAUUUAAAAAAAAAAAGAAAAGAAAAAAAUUGGUCUGU